CCAUCCAGCGAACUUGGCAGAGAUGCCUUGGUGCCUUCGGGAACGCUGAGACAGGUGCUGCAUGGCUGUCGUCAGCUCGUGUUGUGAAAUGUUGGGUUAAGUCCCGNAACGAGCGCAACCCUUAUCCUUUGUUGCCAGCGAUUCGGUCGGGAACUCAAAGGAGACUGCCGGUGAUAAACCGGAGGAAGGUGGGGAUGACGUCAAGUCAUCAUGGCCCUUACGAGUAGGGCUACACACGUGCUACAAUGGCGCAUACAAAGAGAAGCGACCUCGCGAGAGCAAGCGGACCUCAUAAAGUGCGUCGUAGUCCGGAUCGGAGUCUGCAACUCGACUCCGUGAAGUCGGAAUCGCUAGUAAUCGUGGAUCAGAAUGCCACGGUGAAUACGUUCCCGGGCCUUGUACACACCGCCCGUCACACCAUGGGAGUGGGUUGCAAAAGAAGUAGGUAGCUUAACCCUCGGGAGGGCGCUUACCACUUUGUGAUUCAUGACUGGGGUGAAGUCGUAACAAGGUAAGCGUAGCGAG
This 525-nucleotide ribosomal RNA is filed under the name uncultured bacterium. RNAcentral describes it as "bacterial SSU rRNA". It matches the Rfam family "Bacterial small subunit ribosomal RNA", at positions 984 to 1509 of the family's 1533-position model. The record is from RNAcentral.